UGUGAAGGUCUUUGAGUGUUUACGGAGCACAAUAUUCUUUAAAUGAUUGAAGAAACACAGACACCAGCUCCCACAUGGUUUUGCACCGUUCCUCCUUCAAGAAGUUUGGGAUACCUCUGGAUUAACACCCCCAAGUUGCGGCAUCUGGCCAAAGUGAGAAAUGAGUUUCACAUACAUUAUUGAAUUCCAUACAGCUUUCUUCAUUCGGUGUACUCUGAUUUUGGCUGCUGUUAUCUGGUGGUACUGACUAGUAACGUGUGGAA
This 263-nucleotide long non-coding RNA is filed under the name Mustela putorius furo (domestic ferret). RNAcentral's name for it is "lncRNA (ENSMPUG00000030317.1)". Lineage: Eukaryota; Metazoa; Chordata; Mammalia; Carnivora; Mustelidae. The record is from RNAcentral.